AACCGGAUUAGAUACCCUGGUAGUCCACGCCCUAAACGAUGUCUACUAGUUGUCGGGUCUUAAUUGACUUGGUAACGCAGCUAACGCGUGAAGUAGACCGCCUGGGGAGUACGGUCGCAAGAUUAAAACUCAAAGGAAUUGACGGGGACCCGCACAAGCGGUGGAUGAUGUGGAUUAAUUCGAUGCAACGCGAAAAACCUUACCUACCCUUGACAUGUACAGAAUCCCGAAGAGAUUUGGGAGUGUUCGAAAGAAAACUGUAACACAGGUGCUGCAUGGCUGUCGUCAGCUCGUGUCGUGAGAUGUUGGGUUAAGUCCCGCAACGAGCGCAACCCUUGUCAUUAGUUGCUACGAAAGGGCACUCUAAUGAGACUGCCGGUGACAAACCGGAGGAAGGUGGGGAUGACGUCAAGUCCUCAUGGCCCUUAUGGGUAGGGCUUCACACGUCAUACAAUGGUACAUACAGAGGGCCGCCAACCCGCGAGGGGGAGCUAAUCCCAGAAAGUGUAUCGUAGUCCGGAUUGUAGUCUGCAACUCGACUACAUGAAGUUGGAAUCGCUAGUAAUCGCGGAUCAGCAUGUCGCGGUGAAUACGUUCCCGGGUCUUGUACACACCGCCCGUCACACCAUGGGAGCGGGUUUUACCAGAAGUAGGUAGCCUAACCGUAAGGAGGGCGCUUACCACGGUAGGAUUCGUGACUGGGGUGAAGUCGUAACAAGGUAACCG
This 726-nucleotide ribosomal RNA is filed under the name uncultured endophytic bacterium. Its description in RNAcentral is "bacterial SSU rRNA". It matches the Rfam family "Bacterial small subunit ribosomal RNA", at positions 771 to 1502 of the family's 1533-position model. The record is from RNAcentral.